This 489-nucleotide ribosomal RNA is filed under the name Enterococcus thailandicus. RNAcentral describes it as "bacterial SSU rRNA". It matches the Rfam family "Bacterial small subunit ribosomal RNA", at positions 51 to 514 of the family's 1533-position model. Lineage: Bacteria; Bacillati; Bacillota; Bacilli; Lactobacillales; Enterococcaceae. The record is from RNAcentral.
AUACAUGMAGUCGUACGCUUCUUUUUCMCCGGAGUUGCUCCACCGGAAAAAGAAGAGUGGCGAACGGGUGAGUAACACGUGGGUAACCUGCCCAUCAGAAGGGGAUAACACUUGGAAACAGGUGCUAAUACCGUAUAACAAUCGAAACCGCAUGGUUUUGAUUUGAAAGGCGCUUUCGGGUGUCGCUGAUGGAUGGACCCGCGGUGCAUUAGCUAGUUGGUGAGGUAACGGCUCACCAAGGCCACGAUGCAUAGCCGACCUGAGAGGGUGAUCGGCCACAUUGGGACUGAGACACGGCCCAAACUCCUACGGGAGGCAGCAGUAGGGAAUCUUCGGCAAUGGACGAAAGUCUGACCGAGCAACGCCGCGUGAGUGAAGAAGGUUUUCGGAUCGUAAAACUCUGUUGUUAGAGAAGAAYAAGGAUGAGAGUAACUGUUCAUCCCUUGACGGUAUCUAACCAGAAAGCCACGGCUAACUACGUGCCAGCAG